This 253-nucleotide ribosomal RNA is filed under the name uncultured bacterium. RNAcentral describes it as "partial 16S ribosomal RNA". It matches the Rfam family "Bacterial small subunit ribosomal RNA", at positions 524 to 776 of the family's 1533-position model. The record is from RNAcentral.
GACGGAGGAUGCAAGCGUUGUCCGGAAUGAUUGGGCGUAAAGCGUUCGCAGGUGGCUGUUCAAGUCUGCUGUCAAAGACCGGGGCUUAACCCCAGACAGGCAGUGGAAACUGAACGGCUGGAGUGCAGUUCGGGUAGAGGGAAUUCCAAGUGUAGCGGUGAAAUGCGUAGAGAUUGGGAAGAACACCAGUGGCGAAAGCGCGCUGCUGGACUGCAACUGACACUGAGGGAAGAAAGCUAGGGGAGCGAAAAGG